AAAGAAGCUCUAGCAAGUAGCGAUUCGACCCGCACGCGAAGUAAUUGGGGGCGAAGGACGGACGGUGGUCAGAAUUCGUCGCGAGCUUUGCAGGGAAACGCGGGCAGCUUCGUCCCUGUAGCUCAUUUCGUCAUCGUUUCGAUAUUAUCCGCUUCGACACGUCUAUGAAGAUACACCGAGGAGGGGGUUGGAGGGGGGGUUGGCGGCGUUUGAUUCUCUUUUUUGUUUUUUGGUUUUUGUUGUUGAGUCCGUUGUGUAUAUAAGGAGCUUUCGAUUCGUGGCCCUUUCGUGUGGGGGGGGGGGGAUUUGAGGAUUUGUCUGGCGCCAAGUCCGGCGGGGGCGGUCGUCAUCAAUUAGCCAAGGAGCUGUCCGUUCUUCACCUUAUCGCCAUUGGGGUCGGAUCUACGAUCGGAGCUGGAGUUUACAUUCUUGUUGGGACAGUUGCUAGAGAGCAUUCUAGACCGGCUCUCACCUUCUCGUUCUUGAUAGCUGGAAUUGCAGCAGCUCUUUCAGCCUUCUGUUAUGCGGAGCUUGCAAGCCGUUGUCCAUCUGCUGGGAGCGCGUAUCAUUAUUCAUACAUAUGUGUCGGAGAAGGUGUUGCUUGGCUGAUUGGUUGGGCGCUGAUACUGGAAUACAUAAUUGGUGGCUCAGCUGUAGCUCGUGCCAUAUCUCCUAACCUGGCAUUGCUCUUUGGUGGAGGGGAGAGUCUUCCUGCGUUUUUAGCUCGUCAGUACAUCCCUGGGCUUGAUAUAGUGGUAGGCCCAUGUGCUGCAGUUCUAGUAAUUGUCGUUACUGAGCUGUUAUGUGUGGGAAUUAAGGAGGUAAUCCCUCUUGUAGAUUUAUUUGAUGUGGAAAGUGCCUUUACGAGCUAGUAUCUAUUGUGAUUGUUGGUCUUGUGCCUUACUUUGCAAUGGACCCUGACACCUCCAUCUCCUCUGCAUUUGCAAGCCAUGGGAUGCAUUGGGCAGUGUAAGUGUAUAAUUUGUAUCAAAGUGGUUGUGGCAGCUUCUCCUUUUGUUGGGGAUGACGGAUGUGCACUCAGAAUUUUGUUUGUGAUGCUUGCUUAUUUCGUUGCAGGUACAUAAUCACAGCUGGAGCUAUUACUGCUCUCUGGUCCACACUGAUGUGCUUUGUAAGUGCAAUCCUUUUAAUUUUGGAUGUGAUAUUUUGGCAAUGUAGGUAUAUCACUUUCUUCUCUGAGUUUGUGGGACUUUGAGUUUCCCUUGCUUUUGGGAAUUUUAUGGUUUUAAUUAAGAAUAUUAAACAGUAGAUAUAUUUUGUUUGGCAGUCAGGUUAGUUAUUAUGUGUUAAUGUGCGGAGGGGGAGAUUUGCCAAGGAUGGUCUGAUUCAGUAUUGCAUUGUAUGUCAACAAGUGAAUGUCACUUCUUUGGAGGAGGUGAUGAAGCACUUCAUGCAAACCUUAUAGGAGAAAGCAGACCAGGCGCAAGAUUGGAAGGAUCUUUUCAUAUCUAUCGGGGAUAAGCUUUGCUUCAGCUUCUUCUGUGCCAGAAGUGCAGUUGGCACAAUAUGUUCCUGCCCUCGAAAGAAUUGCCACCUUGAGGUUGCUUAAGUAGGUGCUUUAAUAUGCAAGAUUAUUUAUUCUCUCAUUAUGU
Long non-coding RNA from Syzygium oleosum, 1613 nucleotides. RefSeq lists it as uncharacterized. Lineage: Eukaryota; Viridiplantae; Streptophyta; Magnoliopsida; Myrtales; Myrtaceae. The record is from RefSeq and is a predicted model, not a curated record. The transcript is spliced from 4 exons.